AGGGAAUGCUAUAAGCUGGAGAGAGAUCCUGACAACCCCCAGUGACUAUCUUUGUGCCCAUCCCUCAAAAAAAAAAAAAAAAAAAAUCCAGGCCGGCAUGAGGGACAGGAGCCCUUCCUGCAGUGGCUCAUGCUGCUCAGUAAUGAGUCAGCCCUGCCACAUGUGCAUACUGUGAGCUAUGGAGAUGAUGAGGACUCCCUCAGCAGCGCCUACAUCCAGCGGGUCAACACUGAGCUCAUGAAGGCUGCCGCUCGGGGUCUCACCCUGCUCUUCGCCUCAGGUGACAGUGGGGCCGGGUGUUGGUCUGUCUCUGGAAGACACCAGUUCCGCCCUACCUUCCCUGCCUCCAGCCCCUAUGUCACCACAGUGGGAGGCACAUCCUUCCAGGAACCUUUCCUCAUCACAAAUGAAAUUGUUGACUAUAUCAGUGGUGGUGGCUUCAGCAAUGUGUUCCCACGGCCUUCAUACCAGGAGGAAGCUGUAACGAAGUUCCUGAGCUCUAGCCCCCACCUGCCACCAUCCAGUUACUUCAAUGCCAGUGGCCGUGCCUACCCAGAUGUGGCUGCACUUUCUGAUGGCUACUGGGUGGUCAGCAACAGAGUGCCCAUUCCAUGGGUGUCCGGAACCUCGGCCUCUACUCCAGUGUUUGGGGGGAUCCUAUCCUUGAUCAAUGAGCACAGGAUCCUUAGUGGCCGCCCCCCUCUUGGCUUUCUCAACCCAAGGCUCUACCAGCAGCAUGGGGCAGGACUCUUUGAUCUCCGGUGUCGGCGGGUGGCGCGGCGCCCCCGGAGGGGGCCAUAUCUAACGGGGUUUACGUACUGCCGAGCGCGGCCAACGGAGACGUGAAGCCCGUGGUGUCCAGCACGCCUUUGGUGGACUUCUUGAUGCAGCUGGAAGAUUACACGCCUACGGUGGGCUUCCGCCCGAACAAGGCCACCUAGCCUGCUGUCAAAACUUUCAGCCACAUCGUGCUUUUCAGCGUUCUCUUCCAUUUGCUCCCCUAGUCGCUCUUCUGUGUUUGCCCUCUGCUCACCCAAACUAUCCCAGAUGCAGUGACUGGUUACUACCUGAACCGUGCUGGCUUUGAGGCCUCAGACCCACGCAUAAUUCGGCUCAUCUCCUUAGCUGCCCAGAAAUUCAUCUCAGAUAUUGCCAAUGAUGCCCUACAGCACUGCAAAAUGAAGGGCACGGCCUCCGGCAGCUCCCGGAGCAAGAGCAAGGACCGCAAGUACACUCUAACCAUGGAGGACUUGACCCCUGCCCUCAGCGAGUAUGGCAUCAAUGUGAAGAAGCCGCACUACUUCACCUGAGCCACCCAACCUAAAUGUACUUAUCUGUCCCCAUGUCCC
This is a long non-coding RNA of Homo sapiens (human), 1349 nucleotides long. Lineage: Eukaryota; Metazoa; Chordata; Mammalia; Primates; Hominidae. The record is from Ensembl.